RNAcentral lists this ribosomal RNA (464 nucleotides) under Salmonella enterica. RNAcentral describes it as "partial 23S ribosomal RNA". It matches the Rfam family "Bacterial large subunit ribosomal RNA", at positions 1 to 504 of the family's 2925-position model. The record is from RNAcentral. RNAcentral also lists the same sequence under 1 other name. Lineage: Bacteria; Pseudomonadati; Pseudomonadota; Gammaproteobacteria; Enterobacterales; Enterobacteriaceae.
GGUUAAGCGACUAAGCGUACACGGUGGAUGCCCUGGCAGUCAGAGGCGAUGAAGGACGUGCUAAUCUGCGAUAAGCGCCGGUAAGGUGAUAUGAACCGUUAUAACCGGCGAUUUCCGAAUGGGGAAACCCAGUGUGACUCGUCACACUAUCAUUAACUGAAUCCAUAGGUUAAUGAGGCGAACCGGGGGAACUGAAACAUCUAAGUACCCCGAGGAAAAGAAAUCAACCGAGAUUCCCCCAGUAGCGGCGAGCGAACGGGGAGGAGCCCAGAGCCUGAAUCAGCAUGUGUGUUAGUGGAAGCGUCUGGAAAGGCGCGCGAUACAGGGUGACAGCCCCGUACACAAAAGCGCAUGUGCUGUGAGCUCGAUGAGUAGGGCGGGACACGUGGUAUCCUGUCUGAAUAUGGGGGGACCAUCCUCCAAGGCUAAAUACUCCUGACUGACCGAUAGUGAACCAGUACCGU